UUGGUUAGGUUUACAAACAAGGGUCAUUUCUAAGGCCAUUGAAAACGAAAUUGCCGAUGCAAAAGAGACAUUCACUGUACACUAUUCACACAUCUCAACUUCGUUCCCUUUGUUUCUCAUUUGAAACCUUCACAACUCUUAUUUCACAACUCAAUUUUUGUUUUUCACUAUUUUUCUUCCAAGCAAGCAUUCAUUUUCAUUUUCUCUAUUUUUUUUCUUUUCUUUUCACAUCGUAUUCACAAAACAGAUGUUUCUCUUUUCUCAUUUUUUUU
RNAcentral lists this long non-coding RNA (272 nucleotides) under Lathyrus oleraceus (garden pea). RNAcentral's name for it is "Pisum sativum (pea) long non-coding RNA (PSAT_LNC008959)". Lineage: Eukaryota; Viridiplantae; Streptophyta; Magnoliopsida; Fabales; Fabaceae. The record is from RNAcentral.